This 459-nucleotide ribosomal RNA is filed under the name uncultured bacterium. Its description in RNAcentral is "partial 16S ribosomal RNA". It matches the Rfam family "Bacterial small subunit ribosomal RNA", at positions 338 to 795 of the family's 1533-position model. The record is from RNAcentral.
CCUACGGGUGGCAGCAGUGAGGAAUAUUGGUCAAUGGGCGCGAGCCUGAACCAGCCAAGUCGCGUGAGGGAAGACGGUCCUAUGGAUUGUAAACCUCUUUUGUCGGGGAGCAAAAGACGCCACGCGUGGCGUUCCUAGAGUACCCGAAGAAAAAGCAUCGGCUAACUCCGUGCCAGCAGCCGCGGUAAUACGGAGGAUGCGAGCGUUAUCCGGAUUUAUUGGGCGUAAAGGGGGCGUAGAUGGCAUAGUAAGUCUUUUGUAAAAAUGCUGGGCUCAACCCAGUAGGGCAAAAGAUACUGCAAAGCUAGAGUAUGACAGAGGCAAGUGGAACUACAUGUGUAGCGGUAAAAUGCGUAAAUAUAUGUAAGAACACCAGUGGCGAAGGCGGCUUGCUGGGUCGAUACUGACAUUGAGGCACGAAAGCGUGGGGAGCAAACAGGAUUAGAUACCCGAGUAGUC